This 312-nucleotide ribosomal RNA is filed under the name uncultured bacterium. Its description in RNAcentral is "bacterial SSU rRNA". It matches the Rfam family "Bacterial small subunit ribosomal RNA", at positions 505 to 796 of the family's 1533-position model. The record is from RNAcentral.
GUGUCAGCCGCCGCGGUAAUACAGAGGGCGCGAGCGUUGUCCGGAAUCACUGGGCGUAAAGGGCGCGUAGGUGGCCACCAUAAGGCCGCGGUGAAAGUCUGGGGCUCAACUCCAGAUCGGCCGCGGCGACUGUGGGGCUUGGGCACUGUAGAGGCAGAUGGAAUUCCGGGUGUAGCGGUGGAAUGCGUAGAGAUCCGGAAGAACACCGGUGGCGAAGGCGGUCUGCUGGGCAGUGAGCUCGCAAGGGCUCAAUAGCCGACACUGAGGCGCGACAGCGUGGGGAGCAAACAGGAUUAGAAACCCCCGUAGUCC